AUCGAUUGGGCGAAUCGAUAAAAUAAAAUCAAAUUCGAUUAAAAAUGGCUACAGCCGACUAAUCGAUAUAUUCCAAACGAAUCUUGUCAAAGCUAAUUAGUUUAAUGGAACGUUAUCUUUUUGAUGUAAUUACUUGAGUUUAUCAUAAAUUAUUGAAUUAUUUGGCAGUAUUUAGAGGAAAUCUGAUGCCUGAUGGUCUGAUCGACAAUGAAUUAUCCCCUUAAAUGGAGUACUAACACGAAAUAUAACAAAUUAAAGUUUAAAAAUGGAUUAUUUUGAAAAUCGAUUCUCAUCUAAUUAUCUGCCAAUAAUUUAUAAUUUAAUAGUCUAUCAUGACCUUUGCUUUCAAUUAAAAUGAUUAAAAUUUAACGUACUUGAAUUACAAUGAUGAUGUGCUGAAACAACAAUUGGAGUGUAAUUAAUGACAAAAGCUGCUUUGGAUAUUAACGCGUUCAGUAAAUAACAAAUAAACUCGGAACACAGGUGGUAAAUGAAUGAAAUACGCGGGAUUGUGAAAGAUUAAUAAAAUUCAAACAUGAAAAGAUGAAACUGGAGGGCACCACUGGUCGUUGUUGAUUUCAUUAUCACUUCAUACUUCUUUAACAACUGAGCAACAGUACGCUUUAUCCACAAUGGAUGCUGAUGCCGUUUUAUUUCGUCAAAAACACAAGGAGAGUACGUGUUCAGGAUUAUUUAUAAAACGUAAAAUCACACAAAAAGGUAAGAAACACAACUCCAUUACUUUCACAACAUUUUUCAUCUGAUCUACGUUACCAUUAUCCUAACGUAAUAUUGAAUGUCAUCACCGAAGACAUAGUAGCCUAGGUUGAUC
Long non-coding RNA from Chelonus insularis, 832 nucleotides. RefSeq lists it as uncharacterized. NCBI's taxonomy places the organism in Eukaryota, Metazoa, Arthropoda, Insecta, Hymenoptera, Braconidae. The record is from RefSeq and is a predicted model, not a curated record. The transcript is spliced from 3 exons.